RNAcentral lists this ribosomal RNA (16 nucleotides) under Entamoeba moshkovskii. The record is from RNAcentral. Lineage: Eukaryota; Evosea; Mastigamoebida; Endamoebidae.
GGUAGGUUACCAGUCG